RNAcentral lists this ribosomal RNA (275 nucleotides) under uncultured Armatimonas sp. RNAcentral's name for it is "partial 16S ribosomal RNA". It matches the Rfam family "Bacterial small subunit ribosomal RNA", at positions 338 to 628 of the family's 1533-position model. Lineage: Bacteria; Bacillati; Armatimonadota; Armatimonadia; Armatimonadales; Armatimonadaceae. The record is from RNAcentral.
CCUACGGGGGGCUGCAAUUAGGAAUCUUGCGCAAUGGGGGAAACCCUGACGCAGCGACGCCGCGUGAAGGAUGAAGGUUCUCGGAUCGUAAACUUCUUUUAAGUGGGAAGAAAUUUGACGGUACCACUUGAAUAAGCCCCGGCUAACUACGUGCCAGCAGCCGCGGUAAUACGUAGGGGGCGAGCGUUGUCCGAAGUUACUGGGCGUAAAGCGCGCGUAGGCGGCCAUUUAAGUCUGGGGUGAAAGGUUCAGCGCUCAACGUGAACAGUGCCUUG